AACUGGUCCCUUUAGAGGAAGUAAGAGUCGUAACAAGGUUUCCGUAGGUGAACCUGCGGAAGGAUCAUUAACGAGUUAGGGUCUCUCUGGCCCGACCUCCCAACCCUUUGUCUACUUGACCAUCGUUGCUUCGGCGAGCCCGUCCUCACGGACCGCCGGAGGGAUCUUUACUGGCCCUCUGGUCCGCGCUCGUCGGUAGCCCAACCUUUAAAAUCUUUAACUAAACGUGCCUUAAUCUAAGUACAAUUAUUAAAUAAAAGCAAAACUUUCAACAACGGAUCUCUUGGUUCUGGCAUCGAUGAAGAACGCAGCGAAAUGCGAUAAGUAAUGCGAAUUGCAGAAUUCCAGUGAGUCAUCGAAUCUUUGAACGCACAUUGCGCCCUUUGGUAUUCCGAAGGGCAUGCCUGUUCGAGCGUCAUUAUCACCCCUCAAGCCCCCGGCUUGGUGUUGGACGGUUUGGUGGAGGCCCCCUCGGGGGUUCCUGCCCCUCCCAAAGACAAUGACGGCGGCCUCGUUGGACCCCCGGUACACUGAGUUCUUCACGGGACACGUAUCGGACACAUGGGUUUGCUUGACACGGUCUGCCUCCCCUCAGGGAGAAUCUUAUCUAAGGUUGACCUCGGAUCAGGUAGGGAUACCCGCUGAACUUAAGCAUAUCAUA
This 661-nucleotide ribosomal RNA is filed under the name uncultured fungus. RNAcentral's name for it is "eukaryotic LSU rRNA". The stretch from base 264 to 418 matches the Rfam family "5.8S ribosomal RNA". The record is from RNAcentral. Lineage: Eukaryota; Fungi.